GGGAAUGUAGCUCAGUGGUAGAGCAUUUGCCUAGCAUGCUGAAGACCUGGGUUCAAUCUCCAGUACCCCCC
RNAcentral lists this transfer RNA (71 nucleotides) under Ictidomys tridecemlineatus (thirteen-lined ground squirrel). RNAcentral describes it as "Spermophilus tridecemlineatus (thirteen-lined ground squirrel) tRNA". It matches the Rfam family "tRNA". From Rfam's summary of the family: Transfer RNA (tRNA) molecules are approximately 80 nucleotides in length. The record is from Rfam by way of RNAcentral. Lineage: Eukaryota; Metazoa; Chordata; Mammalia; Rodentia; Sciuridae.